RNAcentral lists this ribosomal RNA (431 nucleotides) under uncultured bacterium. RNAcentral describes it as "partial 16S ribosomal RNA". It matches the Rfam family "Bacterial small subunit ribosomal RNA", at positions 29 to 507 of the family's 1533-position model. The record is from RNAcentral.
AACGAACGCUGGCGGCAGGCUUAACACAUGCAAGUCGAGCGCCCCGCCCGGGGAUCGGCAGACUGGUGAGUAACGCGUGGGAACGUACCUUUUUGUUUGGAACAACUCCGGGAAACUGGUGCUAUUACCGGAUAAGCGCUAACAGCGGAAGGUUUAUCGUCCUACGAUCGGCGCGCGUCUGAUUUGCUACGUGGUGGGGUAACCGCUCACCAUGGCGACGAACAGGAGCUGGUCUGAGUGGAGGAUCAUCCACAAUGGGACUGAGACACGGCCCAGACCCGGACGGAAGGGAGGAGAGGAGAAUAUUGGACAAGGGGCGCAAGCCUGACCAAGCCAUGCGGGGGAAGAGAGGAAGGGGUUAGGGUUGUAAAGCUGUUUUGGCCGGGAAGAGAAUGACGGUACCGGAAGAAUAAGCACCGGCUAACUACGUG